Molecule: ribosomal RNA, 397 nt
Filed under: uncultured bacterium
Lineage: Bacteria
Description: partial 16S ribosomal RNA
Rfam family: Bacterial small subunit ribosomal RNA
Source: RNAcentral
AUACGUAGGGGGCGAGCGUUGUCCGGAAUGAUUGGGCGUAAAGGGCGCGUAGGCGGCCUGGUAAGUCUGAAGUGAAAGUCCCGCUUUCAAGGUGGGAAUUGCUUUGGAUACUGCUGGGCUUGAGUGCAGGAGAGGAAAGCGGAAUUCCCGGUGUAGCGGUGAAAUGCGUAGAGAUCGGGAGGAACACCAGUGGCGAAGGCGGCUUUCUGGACUGUAACUGACGCUGAGGCGCGAAAGCGUGGGGAGCAAACAGGAUUAGAUACCCUGGUAGUCCACGCUGUAAACGAUGAAUGCUAGGUGUAGGAGGUAUCGACCCCUUCCGUGCCGGAGUAAACACAAUAAGCAUUCCGCCUGGGGAGUACGGCCGCAAGGUUGAAACUCAAAUGAAUUGACGGGG